UACCAAUAUUCCAGUUAAUACUUUAUUAUAAAAUUGACACAUUCUGCAGUUGUUUAUUUUACUUUCUUCCCAACACCCCUUUUCCUGUAAAUCAUCCUUUUGUCCUUCCCAUGUUCCCAACAGAUUCAGUGACCCCAAACCAAGUAUUUUGACCUUCUGCCUGGACAAGAUAUUACAUAAACUGCCAAACAACAUGGAUAAGGGCAGUCUCUCCCUGCUGAUCCUCCUAUGGGGAUGCCAGUGAGAGCUCUCUGCUGUACCUGGCCACUGAUCCCUGCCUAUAGGAGCCUGUUCAUCUCUGAUUCCCCUAAGAGCUUGUUAAAUUUGAUUGAAAUGAGCCAGUUGGUUACUCUGUGACAAAUGGGGGGCUGACAGUGGGAUAAAAAAGCCUAAUUUCCUCAAGCAACUAGAGAAAAAAAAACCCUUUGUGAGCUUGUCAAAAGUAGAUCAUGAAAUUAAUCCCCAAAUUUUAAAAUACAUAUUUUUUAAAAAUCAAAUAGAGUAUCUAAACUGUCUUCUGAUUUUGAAACUUCUGGGGAGAAGUGGACAUUCUUAGGUGGUGAAUCAUCCAACCUGUUUUAGUGUCGACCUUAGGAGUAGGUGAAUCAUGCUCUAGAAAUGCUUCUUCAAUAUUUGAAUAAGGGGCUCUUCUUAUUUUGUUUCACGGCUUAUUCUCAGUUUGUUAUUACUUAAAAUAUUUUUAAAUUAUUUUUGGUUUUAAUACAGAGUUAAUCUUCGCUCAAGAUGAGGAUGGGCUGAUAAUACAUCUUUCUCUGAGAGCUGUGGUUUCAAAAAUUCAGCAGUUUCACUCCUGUGAUUUUGCAGUUUGUCUUCUGGAAGGGAUGUGUGGAAUAGAAACAAUGAAGAAGUAAGACCAAAGAAGACAGAAGCCCAGAGGCAAAAAAGACUCCAAACCUGCCUGCAGAGGAGCUUGACAGAGAAGAGGCUGUGCAUGGACAGUGGUACUGAUGACAAAUCCCCUUUGGUCCCUUUGGCUGUUCAGCCAUUAAUCUUUGGGAAAAGUGAGUGGCAGGAGCCUUUGCUGGAAGUGGCUGUGGGGCACAGCAAGCCUUGGCCAGGAGGAGCAGAAGAUAUUUUGCCGACUGAGUCAUGGUAUUAAAUGUGCUUUUUACAGUGAAAUUCAUUGUAAGAGUGAAGCAGGUCAUUGGUAUUUAAUCUGAACCAGAGUUGUGCAACUUCAAGUGACUCUGCAGGAGAUGGGUUCCCGUGAUAGGUUCCUCAUCCAGGGCUAUGAAGCUCUUCCAGGCCAAACAUGUCCUUGUGGUUGUGCCUUUUCUUUCAUUUCUUCUUGCUUACGUAGAAAACCUGUAUGUGUAACAAUUUGAAAGGCUUUUAAAAUUUCUUAAAUAAAAUUAUUCAUUGAUAAGUAAGUGCCUCA
Molecule: long non-coding RNA, 1399 nt
Filed under: Manacus vitellinus (golden-collared manakin)
Lineage: Eukaryota; Metazoa; Chordata; Aves; Passeriformes; Pipridae
Description: lncRNA (ENSMVIG00005000368.1)
Source: RNAcentral